This 305-nucleotide ribosomal RNA is filed under the name uncultured bacterium. Its description in RNAcentral is "bacterial SSU rRNA". It matches the Rfam family "Bacterial small subunit ribosomal RNA", at positions 335 to 658 of the family's 1533-position model. The record is from RNAcentral.
UCCCUACGGGGCGCAGCAGUGGGGGAUAUUGCACAAUGGGGGAAACCCUGAUGCAGCGACGCCGCGUGUGGGAAGACGGUCCUCUGGAUUGUAAACCACUGUCCCCAGGGACGAAGAUGACGGUACCUGGGGAGGAAGCUCCGGCUAACUACGUGCCAGCAGCCGCGGUAAUACGUAGGGAGCGAGCGUUGUCCGGAAUUACCGGGUGUAAAGGGAGCGUAGGCGGGGGUGCAAGUUGGGGGUCAAAACUACCGGCUCAACUGGUAGUCGCACUCAAAACUGGCGCUCUUGAGUGAAGUAGAAGG